Long non-coding RNA from Bufo bufo (common toad), 2359 nucleotides. RefSeq lists it as uncharacterized. NCBI's taxonomy places the organism in Eukaryota, Metazoa, Chordata, Amphibia, Anura, Bufonidae. The record is from RefSeq and is a predicted model, not a curated record. The transcript is spliced from 2 exons.
CAAAAUGAUACAUUUAUUUAUUGAAAGUUUUUUUUUGUUUUUUUUCUUUUUAUACAAAAGGAUUAUUCUGGUUACUCGUAUGUACACAGUACUGUGUUUUACUCCACAAACGUCUCCCGGGAAAACCCAGAAAAUUCCAAUAAAAAUAAACCGCACACAAGCACAACAAAAAAAAAAGAGAAAAUCUGAAUAAUAAGUGAGAAGCCGGAGGAGUGAAGCCACCUCACAACAUCACGUCUCCCCUGAGAUCUGCAGCAGCAAAAACAACGCUCCCCUUCCUGAAGUGGGGUCUAACCCUGAUCCCUAUUGGGGUUUAACCCUGAUCCCUAUGUUCUGGAGAUGGGGCUGCUGACUCUACUUCUAAUCAAUGUGUGACCUCCUCGUACUAGGCUUCAUCUCAUUGUCAGACCUUUCCCCACCGUGUGGUGCUACAUCCACUCCGCUCUCCGGUGUAGAGACCCCGAGAACAGCAACCGAUGUAAAGGAAAAGCAAAGCUCCCGGUCAGCUUCACCCCACAGACCCGCCAUGAGGGGUAAAGCACCAUCCAUGUAAUGACCACUGGGAGCCAUGUAUAAAAAAAAACAGUGGCCAAGCAGAUACUGGCAUGGAGAACGUGCUGGGUCAGGCUCUUCACACCUGACCCCCAGGCUGUCCAUGGGCUGCAAUUCUGUGAAUGACCUGAGUUUAAUGCAUUCAUAACCAGAAGUCCCCAAAUAAAGGGCAAUGGCUUUAAAUGACCAGACACUAAACUGGGCAGAGUCCAGGGGCCCGUGCCGCACAGAGUAGAACCCAGAACCUCUAACUACACUCGUAUCAUCCGGCUCCUGAAGAUCACAUAUACAGUGGUUUCAUCUACUCCACAUGGAGCUACUCUAGGGACGUGAACGACCCCGACCCGUUGCCUUCUCCUCCAAUAGCUGGAGGUCCGACUGCUGCCCUCUGAUGUUGGGGCUCACUCAUCUGACGGUCAGUGCAGACAAGGAACCGUGCCGUUUGUGUCUGUGGCCACUAACUUCAGCUCUCAUUAUUCAGAGGCUGUUAGAAAGCAUGGCUGCUGGCUUCGGUGUUCAGCGUGUGGUCAGGAGGCAAUGUCUUGCGUCGUCCCCACUAACCACGCAGUCUCGGGGCUCUCCCGCAUUCUGGCUGCAAGAAGCCACACGGCUUUACAACUCACUUAUGGGCACAAAAAUAAAGCACUGGUCUUCUACAGAAUCAUACUGACAUAACGUCGUCUGUCUCUGCCUGGCCUUCUACAGAAUCAUACUGACAUAACGCCGUCUGUCUCUGCCUGGUCUUCUACAGAAUCAUACUGACAUAACGCCGUCUGUCUCUGCCUGGCCUUCUACAGAAUCAUACUGACAUAACGCCGUCUGUCUCUGCCUGGUCUUCUACAGAAUCAUACUGACAUAACGUCGUCUGUCUCUGCCUGGCCUUCUACAGAAUCAUACUGACAUAACGCCGUCUGUCUCUGCCUGGUCUUCUACAGAAUCAUACUGACAUACCGGCGUCUGUCUCUGCCUGGCCUUCUACAGAAUCAUACUGACAUAACGUCGUCUGUCUCUGCCUGGCCUUCUACAGAAUCAUACUGACAUAACGCCGUCUGUCUCUGCCUGGUCUUCUACAGAAUCAUACUGACAUAACGUCGUCUGUCUCUGCCUGGCCUUCUACAGAAUCAUACUGACAUAACGCCGUCUGUCUCUGCCUGGUCUUCUACAGAAUCAUACUGACAUAACGCCGUCUGUCUCUGCCUGGUCUUCUACAGAAUCAUACUGACAUAACGUCGUCUGUCUCUGCCUGGUCUUCUACAGAAUCAUACUGACAUAACGCCGUCUGUCUCUGCCUGGUCUUCUACAGAAUCAUACUGACAUAACGUCGUCUGUCUCUGCCUGGCCUUCUACAGAAUCAUACUGACAUACCGGCGUCUGUCUCUGCCUGGCCUUCUACAGAAUCAUACUGACAUACCGGCGUCUGUCUCUGCCUGGUCUUCUACAGAAUCAUACUGACAUACCGGCGUCUGUCUCUGCCUGGUCUUCUACAGAAUCAUACUGACAUAACGCCGUCUGUCUCUGCCUGGUCUUCUACAGAAUCAUACUGACAUAACGCCGUCUGUCUCUGCCUGGCCUUCUACAGAAUCAUACUGACAUAACGCCGUCUGUCUCUGCCUGGUCUUCUACAGAAUCAUACUGACAUAACGUCGUCUGUCUCUGCCUGGCCUUCUACAGAAUCAUACUGACAUAACGCCGUCUGUCUCUGCCUGGUCUUCUACAGAAUCAUACUGACAUACCGGCGUCUGUCUCUGCCUGGCCUUCUACAGAAUCAUACUGACAUAACGUCGUCUGUCUCUGCCUGGCCUUCUAC